AUUGAACGCUGGCGGCAUGCCUUACACAUGCAAGUCGAACGGCAGCGCGGGAGCAAUCCUGGCGGCGAGUGGCGAACGGGUGAGUAAUACAUCGGAACGUGCCCAAUCGUGGGGGAUAACGCAGCGAAAGCUGUGCUAAUACCGCAUACGAUCUACGGAUGAAAGCAGGGGAUCGCAAGACCUUGCGCGAAUGGAGCGGCCGAUGGCAGAUUAGGUAGUUGGUGAGGUAAAGGCUCACCAAGCCUUCGAUCUGUAGCUGGUCUGAGAGGACGACCAGCCACACUGGGACUGAGACACGGCCCAGACUCCUACGGGAGGCAGCAGUGGGGAAUUUUGGACAAAGGGCGAAAGCCUGAUCCAGCCAUGCCGCGUGCAGGAUGAAGGCCUUCGGGUUGUAAACUGCUUUUGUACGGAACGAAACGGUCUUUUCCAAUAAAGAAGGCUAAUGACGGUACCGUAAGAAUAAGCACCGGCUAACUACGUG
Molecule: ribosomal RNA, 484 nt
Filed under: uncultured bacterium
Lineage: Bacteria
Description: partial 16S ribosomal RNA
Rfam family: Bacterial small subunit ribosomal RNA
Source: RNAcentral